This 97-nucleotide signal recognition particle RNA is filed under the name Deltaproteobacteria bacterium. RNAcentral describes it as "signal recognition particle sRNA small type". It matches the Rfam family "Bacterial small signal recognition particle RNA". From Rfam's summary of the family: The signal recognition particle (SRP) is a universally conserved ribonucleoprotein involved in the co-translational targeting of proteins to membranes. Archaeal SRP consists of a 7S RNA and homologues of the eukaryotic SRP19 and SRP54 proteins. Lineage: Bacteria; Pseudomonadati; Myxococcota; Myxococcia. The record is from RNAcentral.
GCAGGGUCCCGCUCGAUCACGCGCUUCGUGAACUCCGUCAGAUCCGGAAGGAAGCAGCGGUAGCGAGGCGACGUGUUGCGAGCGGGGGCGCCCUGCG